GCCUGGGUGGCUCAGUUGGUUGAGCAUCUGACUUCAGUUCAGGUCACGAUCUCAUGGUUCGUGGGUUCAAGCCCCAUGUCUGGCU
RNAcentral lists this transfer RNA (85 nucleotides) under Felis catus (domestic cat). It matches the Rfam family "tRNA". Rfam says of the family: Transfer RNA (tRNA) molecules are approximately 80 nucleotides in length. Their secondary structure includes four short double-helical elements and three loops (D, anti-codon, and T loops). The record is from Rfam by way of RNAcentral. Lineage: Eukaryota; Metazoa; Chordata; Mammalia; Carnivora; Felidae. RNAcentral also lists the same sequence under 1 other name.